Molecule: ribosomal RNA, 3110 nt
Filed under: Salmonella enterica subsp. enterica serovar Sloterdijk str. ATCC 15791
Lineage: Bacteria; Pseudomonadati; Pseudomonadota; Gammaproteobacteria; Enterobacterales; Enterobacteriaceae
Description: bacterial LSU rRNA
Rfam family: Bacterial large subunit ribosomal RNA
Source: RNAcentral
GGGUUGUGAGGUUAAGCGACUAAGCGUACACGGUGGAUGCCCUGGCAGUCAGAGGCGAUGAAGGGCGUGCUAAUCUGCGAUAAGCGCCGGUAAGGUGAUAUGAACCGUUAUAACCGGCGAUACCCGAAUGGGGAAACCCAGUGUGACUCGUCACACUAUCAUUAACUGAAUCCAUAGGUUAAUGAGGCGAACCGGGGGAACUGAAACAUCUAAGUACCCCGAGGAAAAGAAAUCAACCGAGAUUCCCCCAGUAGCGGCGAGCGAACGGGGAGGAGCCCAGAGCCUGAAUCAGCAUGUGUGUUAGUGGAAGCGUCUGGAAAGGCGCGCGAUACAGGGUGACAGCCCCGUACACAAAAGCGCAUGUGCUGUGAGCUCGAUGAGUAGGGCGGGACACGUGGUAUCCUGUCUGAAUAUGGGGGGACCAUCCUCCAAGGCUAAAUACUCCUGACUGACCGAUAGUGAACCAGUACCGUGAGGGAAAGGCGAAAAGAACCCCGGCGAGGGGAGUGAAAAAGAACCUGAAACCGUGUACGUACAAGCAGUGGGAGCCCCACCACCAAAGCAUUCUCUGGUGUUGAAGGCCCUGCAAAGCAGCAUCGCGGUGGCGGAGCGUCGUUUGCGACGCCCAACGCACAAAACAAGCGGUGAGUGCUUUGGGGUGGGGUGACUGCGUACCUUUUGUAUAAUGGGUCAGCGACUUAUAUUCUGUAGCAAGGUUAACCGAAUAGGGGAGCCGGAGGGAAACCGAGUCUUAACCGGGCGUUAAGUUGCAGGGUAUAGACCCGAAACCCGGUGAUCUAGCCAUGGGCAGGUUGAAGGUUGGGUAACACUAACUGGAGGACCGAACCGACUAAUGUUGAAAAAUUAGCGGAUGACCUGUGGCUGGGGGUGAAAGGCCAAUCAAACCGGGAGAUAGCUGGUUCUCCCCGAAAGCUAUUUAGGUAGCGCCUCGUGAACUCAUCUCCGGGGGUAGAGCACUGUUUCGGCUAGGGGGCCAUCCCGGCUUACCAACCCGAUGCAAACUGCGAAUACCGGAGAAUGUUAUCACGGGAGACACACGGCGGGUGCUAACGUCCGUCGUGAAGAGGGAAACAACCCAGACCGCCAGCUAAGGUCCCAAAGUCAUGGUUAAGUGGGAAACGAUGUGGGAAGGCCCAGACAGCCAGGAUGUUGGCUUAGAAGCAGCCAUCAUUUAAAGAAAGCGUAAUAGCUCACUGGUCGAGUCGGCCUGCGCGGAAGAUGUAACGGGGCUAAACCAUGCACCGAAGCUGCGGCAGCGAACGUAUCACUUAAAGCGAUUCAGCGGGUUACGAUUGACGGAGCGAAGCGACGUCAAAGCGUAUACAAAGUCGAGUCGGUUUAAGGAUACGUUCGUUGGGUAGGGGAGCGUUCUGUAAGCCUGCGAAGGUGUCUCGUGAGGGAUGCUGGAGGUAUCAGAAGUGCGAAUGCUGACAUAAGUAACGAUAAAGCGGGUGAAAAGCCCGCUCGCCGGAAGACCAAGGGUUCCUGUCCAACGUUAAUCGGGGCAGGGUGAGUCGACCCCUAAGGCGAGGCCGAAAGGCGUAGUCGAUGGGAAACGGGUUAAUAUUCCCGUACUUGGUGUUACUGCGAAGGGGGGACGGAGAAGGCUAUGUUGGCCGGGCGACGGUUGUCCCGGUUUAAGCGUGUAGGUGUGUGUUCCAGGUAAAUCCGGUUCACUUUAACACUGAGGCGUGACGACGAGGCACUACGGUGCUGAAGCAACAAAUGCCCUGCUUCCAGGAAAAGCCUCUAAGCAUCAGGUAACAUCAAAUCGUACCCCAAACCGACACAGGUGGUCAGGUAGAGAAUACCAAGGCGCUUGAGAGAACUCGGGUGAAGGAACUAGGCAAAAUGGUGCCGUAACUUCGGGAGAAGGCACGCUGACACGUAGGUGAAGUGAUUUACUCAUGGAGCUGAAGUCAGUCGAAGAUACCAGCUGGCUGCAACUGUUUAUUAAAAACACAGCACUGUGCAAACACGAAAGUGGACGUAUACGGUGUGACGCCUGCCCGGUGCCGGAAGGUUAAUUGAUGGGGUCAGCGCAAGCGAAGCUCCUGAUCGAAGCCCCGGUAAACGGCGGCCGUAACUAUAACGGUCCUAAGGUAGCGAAAUUCCUUGUCGGGUAAGUUCCGACCUGCACGAAUGGCGUAAUGAUGGCCAGGCUGUCUCCACCCGAGACUCAGUGAAAUUGAACUCGCUGUGAAGAUGCAGUGUACCCGCGGCAAGACGGAAAGACCCCGUGAACCUUUACUAUAGCUUGACACUGAACAUUGAGCCUUGAUGUGUAGGAUAGGUGGGAGGCUUUGAAGUGUGGACGCCAGUCUGCAUGGAGCCGACCUUGAAAUACCACCCUUUAAUGUUUGAUGUUCUAACGUGGACCCGUAAUCCGGGUUGCGGACAGUGUCUGGUGGGUAGUUUGACUGGGGCGGUCUCCUCCUAAAGAGUAACGGAGGAGCACGAAGGUUGGCUAAUCCUGGUCGGACAUCAGGAGGUUAGUGCAAUGGCAUAAGCCAGCUUGACUGCGAGCGUGACGGCGCGAGCAGGUGCGAAAGCAGGUCAUAGUGAUCCGGUGGUUCUGAAUGGAAGGGCCAUCGCUCAACGGAUAAAAGGUACUCCGGGGAUAACAGGCUGAUACCGCCCAAGAGUUCAUAUCGACGGCGGUGUUUGGCACCUCGAUGUCGGCUCAUCACAUCCUGGGGCUGAAGUAGGUCCCAAGGGUAUGGCUGUUCGCCAUUUAAAGUGGUACGCGAGCUGGGUUUAGAACGUCGUGAGACAGUUCGGUCCCUAUCUGCCGUGGGCGCUGGAGAACUGAGGGGGGCUGCUCCUAGUACGAGAGGACCGGAGUGGACGCAUCACUGGUGUUCGGGUUGUCAUGCCAAUGGCACUGCCCGGUAGCUAAAUGCGGAAGAGAUAAGUGCUGAAAGCAUCUAAGCACGAAACUUGCCCCGAGAUGAGUUCUCCCUGAGACUUUAGGUCUCCUGAAGGAACGUUGAAGACGACGACGUUGAUAGGCCGGGUGUGUAAGCGCAGCGAUGCGUUGAGCUAACCGGUACUAAUGAACCGUGAGGCUUAACCUUACAACGCCGAAG